CUAAAGUUUAAUUCUGGCUUGAAACUUGGGUUUAAUUUUGUCUUACAUGUAAGUUUUUGCGUGAAGGUUAUGUUUUAUUUAAAUAAUAUGUGGUUCUACUAAUGGUCGCAGUAGGGGGUUUUAAAUAUCGGUGUUAUCCGGAUUUAGUAAUUUUUAUUAAUAUUGACAAAAUUUGUGCCAGCAGUUGCGGUUAUACAAAUAAUAUUAUUCAAGUUUUUUGGAUUCAGUUAAUAUUGUUUUUUAAUUUUAUAUUAAGGUUUAUUUGGUGAAAUUUUAAAUUUUAUUGAGGUUGUUCUAGGUUAUUGAGGCUGGGAAAUUCUUUGACAGACUAGGAUUAGAUACCCUAUUAUAUUGAAUGUAAAUUUUUAUUCUUAGAUAGUAUUAGUUAUGUUCUUGAAACCUAAAGAUUUUGGCGGUACCCUAGUCUAUUCAGAGGAACCUGUCCUGUAAUCGAUGGUCCACGAUUUCAUUUACUUUCUCUUUUAGUUUGCAUAUCGUCGUAAUAGACUAUUUUAAAAGAAAUUUAAUGUUCGUGAAUUUUUUUAAGAAAUACAUCAGAUCAAGGUGCAGUAUAUGAGGUAGUAGAGAUGGGUUACAUUAAAUUUAUUUUGGGAUUAUUUUGCUCGGGCAUUAUCAUGAAUUUGGAUUUGAUAGUAAUUUUAAUUAAUUAAUUAAUUUGAUUUUGGCUCUAGGGUAUGCACAUAUCGCCCGUCGCUUUCACUCUAAAGUGAAAUAAGUCGUAACAUAGUAGGCCUACUGGAAGGUGGGCCUGGGUAGAC
Molecule: non-coding RNA, 779 nt
Filed under: Olethrius laevipennis
Lineage: Eukaryota; Metazoa; Arthropoda; Insecta; Coleoptera; Cerambycidae
Source: RNAcentral